CGGUGGUGGUCCACCGAUCACCAAACGAAAAAGGAACUUAAGUAAUUCUGAAAUAGAAAUGCUAAGGCAACAGGUAAAUGCCAAACGAGGCAUAAUAUUUAGUAGUGUUUCCAGUGGUUUAAAAGCCACCAACAAAACGGAGGCAUUGAAGGAGAUCACGGAUUCCGUGAACUCUGUUUCUGGACAACGUCGCUCAAUUGAAGAUGUAAAAAAGAAAUGUUUUGACUUAAAAUCAGAGACUAAAAAAUCCAUUGCCAAACACAAGAGACAUAUGCUGACCACUGGAGGGUGCCAUGCAGGCCUUGAGUUAUCUGAGAUUGACCAGCGCAUCGGGGCCAUAAUUGGUGAGACGGCACUCUCAGGUGUGCCAUCAGUGGAGCAACUGGACACUGACCAGGGCCCUAUAUCAACAGCUUCAUAUCCUCCAAGGCCAUCUCCCACCAGUGAAUCAGACGAUCUCCAAUCCAGACAACCCCUCUGAAGAGGAACCUGACACCAUUCGGUCUUCCUGCAGUAGGCCUGCCUCUGUACUUACCGACAGGUCCCGUCCAACUGCACGUGUCAUCUCCGAUGCGGUCUUGAAUAACCAGGAGCGGAUUGCGCAAAGUCUCUGAAAUCGCUUCUACUCUGGCCACAAUAUCAGAAACACUCAGACAUAAACACACAUUAAAAAAUAUAAAGAACGUCCACUGAAACCUGUGUCAUUUCAUGUGUUUAAUUCGUGGUAUUUAAAGGACAAAACAAAUCAAACGAGAAAUUAUUUGUU
Molecule: long non-coding RNA, 766 nt
Organism: Coregonus clupeaformis (lake whitefish)
Lineage: Eukaryota; Metazoa; Chordata; Actinopteri; Salmoniformes; Salmonidae
Exons: 2
Source: RefSeq, a predicted model, not a curated record